RNAcentral lists this ribosomal RNA (1537 nucleotides) under Brassica rapa (field mustard). RNAcentral describes it as "bacterial SSU rRNA". The stretch from base 389 to 1537 matches the Rfam family "Eukaryotic small subunit ribosomal RNA". The record is from RNAcentral. Lineage: Eukaryota; Viridiplantae; Streptophyta; Magnoliopsida; Brassicales; Brassicaceae.
CUGCUGGAUGGUUGACACCACGUUCUGAACCCAUGCAACAAGCCACCUCGAGCUUCUCGGUCCAAUCCCCGAUUUCGACCAUUAGGUGAAUUUUUGUCCCGCGAUCAAUCCCAAAUAUUUUUUUCUACACCCUUUCUGAUGCUCAGAACAAUUUUAAUAAACUCCACUUGAUCUCUGAAGUUGAGGGAAAAUAUGUCCUGAGCCUCCGGCUUCCUCGAAAAAUUUCAUAACACCGAAAUUAGGGUUUUUGUCCAAUUUCGGGUUUUUCCCUCGUGCUUCAAUCCCGUCGUGCUUGCUUCCCGUCGUGCUUACUUCCCGUCGUGCUUAAUUCCCAUCAUGUUUCCAAUGUCUUCGAAAUAAUAUUCCGCUGAUACGAAGUUUUGCGGAAAACUUCAUGCUGAAGAAACGUCAUUCUUCCAAAAUGUCGAGGUUUUAAACCGUCGUGCUUCCAAAAAUGUUAUGCUUCGAAAACGUCCAUCCCAUCAAUCUAAGACAUCUUCUAACUAUGGUCGAGCAACUUAUUCGACUCAUAGUUAACUCACGAUCACUUCUUCGCCCACUUCGUACUUCAAAACUUCUCGAUCGCCCGCGACUCGACCACCACAAAGGUACUCGACCAUUAUCUCUCCUUUUUUUUUUUUUAUUAACGGGUUUCUACAGUCGGGGGCAUUCGUAUUUCAUAGUCAGAGUUGAAAUUCUUGGAUUUAUGAAAGACGAACAACUGCGAAAGCAUUUGCCAAGGAUGUUUUCAUUAAUCAAGAACGAAAGUUGGGGGCUCGAAGACGAUCAGAUACUGUCCUAGUCUCAACCAUAAACGAUGCCGACCAGGGAUCAGCGGAUGUUGCUUUUAGGACUCCGCUGGCCCCUUAUGAGAAAUCAAAGUUUUUGGGUUCCGGGGGGAGUAUGGUCGCAAGGCUGAAACUUAAAGGAAUUGACGGAAGGGCACCACCAGGAGUGAAGCCUGCGGCUUAAUUUGCCUCAACACGGGGAAACUUACCAGGUCCAAACAUAGUAAGGAUUGACAUACUGAGAGGUCUUUCUUGAUUCUAUGGGUGGUGGUGCAUGGCCGUUCUUAGUUGGUGGAGCGAUUUGUCUGGUUAAUUCCGUUAACGAACGAGACCUCAGCCUGCUAACUUGCUACGUGGAGGCAUCCCUUCACGGUCGGCUUCUUAGAGGGACUAUGGCCAUUUAGGCCAAGGAAGUUUGAGGCAAUAACAGGUCUGUGAUGCCCUUAGAUGUUCUGGGCCGCACGUGUACUACACUGAUGUAAUCAUCGAGUUCACACCUUGACCGACAGGCCCGGGUAAUCUUUGAAACUUCAUCGUGAUGGGGAUAGAUCAUUGCAAUUGUUGGUCUUCAACGAGGAAUAACUAUGUCCCUGCCCUUUGUACACACCGCCUGUCGCUCCUACCAAUUGAAUGAUCCGGUGAAAUGUUCGGAUCGCGGCGACGUGGGUGGUGUAACACCCUGAUCCGGCCGACAAGGCCGUGGUCGAAACCUUACAUCGCAUGGUACACUUCCUGGCCGAACCUCUUAA